Bombina bombina (fire-bellied toad) is the source of this 188-nucleotide long non-coding RNA. RefSeq lists it as uncharacterized. The record is from RefSeq and is a predicted model, not a curated record. The transcript is spliced from 3 exons. NCBI's taxonomy places the organism in Eukaryota, Metazoa, Chordata, Amphibia, Anura, Bombinatoridae.
CAAGAAAUCUGAAAGCUUAUCACAAUAUCCCAAUCUUCUGAUCAAGAUGAAUUUCAAUUAUUUUAUUUUAGUGGUCUUUUUCAUAACAUCUGGACAUGCCAAAAGUGAAACUAGAGACGUUCAGCAAGAUGAGGCAGAAAACCAUAUUAAAAGAGGAUCAAACACAGGAUUCAAUUUUAAGACUUUGG